RNAcentral lists this ribosomal RNA (265 nucleotides) under uncultured bacterium. Its description in RNAcentral is "partial 16S ribosomal RNA". It matches the Rfam family "Bacterial small subunit ribosomal RNA", at positions 793 to 1055 of the family's 1533-position model. The record is from RNAcentral.
GUCCACGCCGUAAACGAUGAGUACUAGCUGUUGGAAGACAUAAGAGCUUCGAGUAGCGCAGCAAACGCGAUAAGUACUCCGCCUGGGGAAUACGGUCGCAAGACUAAAACUCAAAGGAAUUGACGGGGGCCCGCACAAGCGGUGGAGCAUGUGGUUUAAUUCGAUGCAACGCGAAGAACCUUACCUACCCUUGACAUCCUGCGAACCUAGUAGAGAUAUUAGGGUGCCUUCGGGAGCGCAGAGACAGGUGCUGCAUGGCUGUCGU